GCAUUGGUGGUUCAAUGGUAGAAUUCUCGCCUGCCACGCGGGAGGUCUGGGUUCGAUUCCCGGCCAAUGCA
Molecule: transfer RNA, 71 nt
Filed under: Albula glossodonta (roundjaw bonefish)
Lineage: Eukaryota; Metazoa; Chordata; Actinopteri; Albuliformes; Albulidae
Rfam family: tRNA
About the family: Transfer RNA (tRNA) molecules are approximately 80 nucleotides in length.
Source: Rfam by way of RNAcentral